RNAcentral lists this ribosomal RNA (496 nucleotides) under uncultured bacterium. RNAcentral's name for it is "partial 16S ribosomal RNA". It matches the Rfam family "Bacterial small subunit ribosomal RNA", at positions 28 to 507 of the family's 1533-position model. The record is from RNAcentral.
GAUGAACGCUGGCGGCAUGCCUAAUACAUGCAAGUCGAGCGAACGGACGAGAAGCUUGCUUCUCUGAUGUUAGCGGCGGACGGGUGAGAACACGUGGAUAACCUACCUAUAAGACUGGGAUAACUUCGGGAAACCGGAGCUAAUACCGGAUAAUAUUUUGAACCGCAUGGUUCAAAAGUGAAAGACGGUCUUGCUGUCACUUAUAGAUGGAUCCGCGCUGCAUUAGCUAGUUGGUAAGGUAACGGCUUACCAAGGCAACGAUGCAUAGCCGACCUGAGAGGGUGAUCGGCCACACUGGAACUGAGACACGGUCCAGACUCCUACGGGAGGCAGCAGUAGGGAAUCUUCCGCAAUGGGCGAAAGCCUGACGGAGCAACGCCGCGUGAGUGAUGAAGGUCUACGGAUCGUAAAACUCUGUUAUUAGGGAAGAACAUAUGUGUAAGUAACUGUGCACAUCUUGACGGUACCUAAUCAGAAAGCCACGGCUAACUACGUG